AAUGAGCCUGCGAGUUGUGGUGUCUGGCAAGGUUAAGCAAACGCGAAGCCGUAGCGAAAGCGAGUCUGAAUAGGGCGCUUAGUCAGAUGCUGCAGACCCGAAACGAAGUGAUCUAUCCAUGAGCAAGUUGAAGCUAGUGUAAGAACUAGUGGAGGACUGAACCCAUAGGCGUUGAAAAGCCCCGGGAUGACUUGUGGAUAGGGGUGAAAGGCCAAUCAAACUUCGUGAUAGCUGGUUCUCUCCGAAAUAUAUUUAGGUAUAGCGUUGUGUCGUAAUAUAAGGGGGUAGAGCACUGAAUGGGCUAGGGCAUACACCAAUGUACCAAACCCUAUCAAACUCCGAAUACCUUAUAUGUAAUCACAGCAGUCAGGCGGCGAGUGAUAAAAUCCGUCGUCAAGAGGGAAACAACCCAGACUACCAGCUAAGGUCCCUAAAUCUUACUUAAGUGGAAAACGAUGUGAAGUUACUUAAACAACCAGGAGGUUGGCUUAGAAGCAGCCAUCCUUUAAAGAAAGCGUAAUAGCUCACUGGUCUAGUGAUUUUGCGCGGAAAAUAUAACGGGGCUAAAGUAAGUACCGAAGCUGUAGACUUAGUUUACUAAGUGGUAGGAGAGCGUUCUAUUUGCGUCGAAGGUAUACCGGUAAGGAGUGCUGGAGCGAAUAGAAGUGAGCAUGCAGGCAUGAGUAGCGAUAAUUAAUGUGAGAAUCAUUAACGCCGUAAACCCAAGGUUUCCUACGCGAUGCUCGUCAUCGUAGGGUUAGUCGGGUCCUAAGUCGAGUCCGAAAGGGGUAGACGAUGGCAAAUUGGUUAAUAUUCCAAUACCAACAUUAGUGUGCGAUGGAAGGACGCUUAGGGCUAAGGGGGCUAGCGGAUGGAAGUGCUAGUCUAAGGUCGUAGGAGGUU
RNAcentral lists this ribosomal RNA (903 nucleotides) under Campylobacter jejuni. RNAcentral's name for it is "partial 23S ribosomal RNA". It matches the Rfam family "Bacterial large subunit ribosomal RNA", at positions 614 to 1529 of the family's 2925-position model. Lineage: Bacteria; Pseudomonadati; Campylobacterota; Epsilonproteobacteria; Campylobacterales; Campylobacteraceae. The record is from RNAcentral.